RNAcentral lists this ribosomal RNA (541 nucleotides) under uncultured Rikenellaceae bacterium. RNAcentral describes it as "bacterial SSU rRNA". It matches the Rfam family "Bacterial small subunit ribosomal RNA", at positions 339 to 880 of the family's 1533-position model. Lineage: Bacteria; Pseudomonadati; Bacteroidota; Bacteroidia; Bacteroidales; Rikenellaceae. The record is from RNAcentral.
CUACGGGAGGCAGCAGUGAGGAAUAUUGGUCAAUGGGCGCAAGCCUGAACCAGCCAUCCCGCGUGAAGGAAGACGGUCCUACGGGUUGUAAACUUCUUUUCUGCACCAAGAAUGGGCGCUACGAGUAGCGUUUUGACGGUAGUGCAGGAAUAAGCAUCGGCUAACUCCGUGCCAGCAGCCGCGGUAAUACGGAGGAUGCAAGCGUUAUCCGGAUUCCUUGGGCUUAAAGGGUACGUAGGUGGCCCGGUAAGUCAGUGGUGAAAUCCUGCCGCUUAACGGUAGAACUGCCAUUGAUACUGCUGGGCUUGAGUACAGAUGAGGUAGGCGGAAUGUGUAGUGUAGCGGUGAAAUGCUUAGAUAUUACACAGAACCCCGAUUGCGAAGGCAGCUUACUAAACUGUAACUGACACUGAGGUACGAAAGCGUGGGGAGCGAACAGGAUUAGAUACCCUGGUAGUCCACGCCGUAAACGAUGCUCACUCGCUGUAUGCAAUACACAGUAUGCGGCCAAGCGAAAGUAUUAAGUGAGCCACCUGGGGAG